RNAcentral lists this long non-coding RNA (529 nucleotides) under Homo sapiens (human). Its description in RNAcentral is "non-protein coding APTR:26". Lineage: Eukaryota; Metazoa; Chordata; Mammalia; Primates; Hominidae. The record is from RNAcentral.
CUUCGGAGGUCAGAGCUCGGCGGGGUGCGGCUAGUGGCGGAGCGCGCUGCGAGGGGAGGGCUUUCCACUGUCGCUGGCGUGAACUCGCGUGCCCGGUGGGUAUCAGGGAAGAACCCCCGCCCCGGACCCCCAGAUCUGCCAUGGCCGAGGUAGCGAUCGUCUCUGCGGCCACGAAGACUGUUUUAACUUGUACCACUUUCCCUUCCAUUUUUCCUGGGGUGCCUCUCACCCUGCAUCUGCGCGUUCAGCAAGCUGGAUUUCGGGAAUGCUCAGUUCAGAAGAGAAAAAAUUGCCGGGAAUCAAGUCCUUCUUUUUGUUAGUCGGUAGUCGAUUGAUGGGAAGUGUUCAAAAUCAUUCGAUGUGGUGACAAGGCUUCACCAGGUACUGCCUUCUAACGAGCUGGCCAUUUCCACAUGUCAGAUAGGACCAACUUGCCUUUUAACUACCCGUGUGAUACUUAAACACUGUUGCCGGUAUCACAGCUUUUCUUCAAAACAGGAAGCAACGAGAAUGAGGGCAUUCCAGUAGC